CCAGCAGCCGCGGUAAUUCCAGCUCCAGUAGCGUAUAUUAAAGUUGUUGCAGUUAAAAAGCUCGUAGUUGGAUGUCUGGCGUGGUGGUUUUUGCGGCUUGGGAGUGGCCAUUGUGCCCUCUUUGUAGCCGGGCCGCCUGUCAUCUUUGGUGUGUGGGUGGUGUGGGUGGGUCGUUCGUUCGGCCUCCUACCCAUCUCCGCACACCUCGUUUACUUUGAAAAAAUUAGAGUGUUUAAAGCAGGCAGUAAUGCUUCUGAAUAUACUAGCAUGGAAUAAUAAGAUAGGACUUUGGUUUUAUUUUGUUGGUUCUUGGAAAGCUAAAGUAAUGAUUGAUAGGGACAGUUGGGGGUGCUAGUAUUGGCCGGCCAGAGGUGAAAUUCUUGGAUUCGGUCAAGACUAACUAAUGCGAAAGCAUUCACCAAGGAUGUCUUCUUUAAUCA
This 440-nucleotide ribosomal RNA is filed under the name uncultured eukaryote. RNAcentral describes it as "SSU rRNA". It matches the Rfam family "Eukaryotic small subunit ribosomal RNA", at positions 567 to 979 of the family's 1831-position model. The record is from RNAcentral.